AAGGAGCCUACCUAGUAGGGUGUUCUAAGUUACUCACGUUAUCCCAAAUCCUAACUAUCUGCAUUGCAUUUUAUUACUAAAACAUAUAAAAAAAUAUAUUGCAUCCAUUCAUAUACCAUUGUAUCUGCAUUCGGUAUCAUGCAAUGCAUAUCAUUUUUCAAAAAUACCAACAAAAAAAUGCAUUCAUCCUUUGUCCAUGAUUAGUAAAGUGAUUC
RNAcentral lists this long non-coding RNA (215 nucleotides) under Lathyrus oleraceus (garden pea). Its description in RNAcentral is "Pisum sativum (pea) long non-coding RNA (PSAT_LNC042301)". The record is from RNAcentral. Lineage: Eukaryota; Viridiplantae; Streptophyta; Magnoliopsida; Fabales; Fabaceae.